Small nucleolar RNA from Gopherus agassizii (Agassiz's desert tortoise), 213 nucleotides. Its record names the gene U3. It matches the Rfam family "Small nucleolar RNA U3". From Rfam's summary of the family: Small nucleolar RNAs (snoRNAs) are involved in the processing and modification of rRNA in the nucleolus. There are two main classes of snoRNAs: the box C/D class, and the box H/ACA class. The record is from Ensembl. NCBI's taxonomy places the organism in Eukaryota, Metazoa, Chordata, Testudines, Testudinidae.
AAGUUAUACUUUCAGGAAUCAUUUCUUUAGUUGGUGACUGGAGCAGGGUGGUUGCAAAAGCCUGGCCUUGCUAACCAUGAUGAAGAACUAUAGUGUUUCUUUCUGAGCAUGACAAUGGCUGAGAGUGCUGUUCUGUAGUAGCUACUUUCUGCUGUGGAAGAGUGUCUUGUUCUUCCUGAAAAGAGCAGGUGAAAGGAACACAGUCUGAGUGGU